UACGUAGGCGGCAAGCGUUGUUCGGAAUUACUGGGCGUAAAGAGUACGUAGGUGGUUUGCCAAGUCCGAUGUGAAAUCUCCUGGCUUAACUGGGAGGGUGCGUUAGAUACUGGCAGGCUUGAGUGUGGGAGAGGAGAGCGGAAUUCCUGGUGUAGCGGUGAAAUGCGUAGAUAUCAGGAGGAACGCCUGUGGUGUAGACGGCUCUCUGGACCAUUACUGACACUGAGGUACGAAAGCGUGGGGAGCAAACAGG
RNAcentral lists this ribosomal RNA (253 nucleotides) under uncultured bacterium. Its description in RNAcentral is "partial 16S ribosomal RNA". It matches the Rfam family "Bacterial small subunit ribosomal RNA", at positions 524 to 776 of the family's 1533-position model. The record is from RNAcentral.